AUACGAAGGGUGCGAGCGUUAAUCGGAAUUACUGGGCGUAAAGCGCGCGUAGGUGGUUAAGUAAGCGAUCUGUGAAAGCCCCGGGCUUAACCUGGGAACUGCAGGUCGAACUGCUUGGCUAGAGUAUGGUAGAGGGGUGUGGAAUUUCCUGUGUAGCGGUGAAAUGCGUAGAUAUAGGAAGGAACAUCAGUGGCGAAGGCGACACCCUGGACCGAUACUGACACUGAGGCGCGAAAGCGUGGGUAGC
Molecule: ribosomal RNA, 247 nt
Filed under: uncultured bacterium
Lineage: Bacteria
Description: partial 16S ribosomal RNA
Rfam family: Bacterial small subunit ribosomal RNA
Source: RNAcentral